CGGCUGCUCAGUAACACGUAGUCAACUUACCCUAUGGACGAGGAUAAUCUCGGGAAACUGAGCAUAAUACUCGAUAGAUCAUAAUGCCUGGAAUGGUUUAUGGUUGAAAUGAUUCAUCGCCAUAGGAUGGGACUGCGGCCUAUCAGCUUGUUGGUGAGGUAAUGGCCCACCAAGGCGAUUACAGGUACGGGCUCUGAGAGGAGAAGCCCGGAGAUGGGUACUGAGACAAGGACCCAGGCCCUAUGGGGCGCAGCAGGCGAGAAAACUUUGCAAUGUGCGAAAGCACGACAAGGUUAAUCCGAGUGAUUUCUGCUAAAGAAAUCUUUUGCAAGUCAUAAAACCACUAGUGAAUAAGGGGUGGGCAAGUUCUGGUGUCAGCCGCCGCGGUAAAACCAGCACCUCAAGUGGUCAGGAGGAUUAUUGGGCCUAAAGCAUCCGUAGCCGGCUCUGUAAGUUUUCGGUUAAAUCCAUGUGCUCAACGCAUGGGCUGCCGAAAAUACUGCAUAGCUAGGGAGUGGGAGAGGUAGACGGUACCCGGUAGGAAGGGGUAAAAUCCUUUGAUCUAUCGAUGACCACCUGUGGCGAAGGCGGUCUACCAGAACACGUUCGACGGUGAGGGAUGAAAGCUGGGGGAGCAAACCGGAUUAGAUACCCGGGUAGUCCCAGCUGUAAACGAUGCAGACUCGAUGAUGCAUUGGCAUAUAGCCAGUGCAGUGUCGCAGGGAAGCCGUUAAGUCUGCCGCCUGGGAAGUACGUACGCAAGUAUGAAACUUAAAGGAAUUGGCGGGGGAGCAG
RNAcentral lists this ribosomal RNA (795 nucleotides) under uncultured marine thaumarchaeote. Its description in RNAcentral is "bacterial SSU rRNA". It matches the Rfam family "Archaeal small subunit ribosomal RNA", at positions 83 to 879 of the family's 1478-position model. Lineage: Archaea; Thermoproteati; Nitrososphaerota. The record is from RNAcentral.